GCAGGGAAUCUUCCACAAUGGGCGAAAGCCUGAUGGAGCAACGCCGCGUGUGUGAUGAAGGGUUUCGGCUCGUAAAACACUGUUGUAAGAGAAGAAUGACAUUGAGAGUAACUGUUCAAUGUGUGACGGUAUCUUACCAGAAAGGAACGGCUAAAUACGUGCCAG
This 165-nucleotide ribosomal RNA is filed under the name uncultured bacterium. RNAcentral describes it as "partial 16S ribosomal RNA". It matches the Rfam family "Bacterial small subunit ribosomal RNA", at positions 354 to 511 of the family's 1533-position model. The record is from RNAcentral.